GGCUCUACCAUAGCUCAGUGGGAGAGCACUUGCUUUGCAUGCAGAAGGUCCCAUGUUCAAUCCCCAGCGUCUCCU
Non-coding RNA from Podarcis lilfordi (Lilford's wall lizard), 75 nucleotides. NCBI's taxonomy places the organism in Eukaryota, Metazoa, Chordata, Lepidosauria, Squamata, Lacertidae. The record is from the annotation of a GenBank genome assembly.